AAUUAAGUUAUUAAGGGCAUAGAGUGGAUGCCUUGGUGCUAGAAGGCGAUGAAAGACGUGAUAAGCUGCGAUAAGCUUCGGUUAGGUGCAAACAACCUUUAACCCGGAGAUUUCUGAAUGGGGUAACCUGAUACGAUUGAAUCGUAUCGUUCCUUCCUGAAUAAAAUAAGGAAGGAUACGCAAGACCUGCUGAAUUGAAACAUCUUAGUAAGCAGAGGAAAAGAAAGAGAAUUCGAUUCCGUAAGUAGCGGCGAGCGAAAACGGACCAGCCCAAACCGGCAUCUUUGAUGUCGGGGUUGUAGGACCCCGCUGUGGGACCUUUGAAGAUAGGUGAACACUUUGGAAAGAGUGGACAAAGAGCGUGACAUCCGCGUAACCGAAAUCUGAAAAGGCCCUAGGGAGUUCCUGAGUAGCACGGGACACGUGAAACCCCGUGUGAAUCUGCGCAGACCACUGCGUAAGGCUAAAUACUAACUAGCGACCGAUAGUGAACCAGUACCGUGAGGGAAAGGUGAAAAGUACCCCUGUGAGGGGAGUGAAAUAGAACCUGAAACCCUAUGCCUACAAGGUGUUAGAGCCCUUUCGAGGGUGAUAGCGUGCCUUUUGCUUAAUGAGUCUGCGAGUUACCGUCUGUGGCAAGCUUAAGAUCUUCUGGAUCGUAGGCGUAGCGAAAGCAAGUCCGAAUAGGGCGACCCUAGUUGCAGGCGGUAGACCCGAAACGGAGGUGACCUACCCAUGGCCAGGUUGAAGCUUAGGUGAUACUAAGUGGAGGACCGAACCGGUGUGUGUUGA
This 792-nucleotide ribosomal RNA is filed under the name bacterium. RNAcentral describes it as "partial 23S ribosomal RNA". It matches the Rfam family "Bacterial large subunit ribosomal RNA", at positions 1 to 792 of the family's 2925-position model. The record is from RNAcentral.